This 75-nucleotide transfer RNA is filed under the name Papillibacter sp. RNAcentral describes it as "tRNA-Gln". It matches the Rfam family "tRNA". From Rfam's summary of the family: Transfer RNA (tRNA) molecules are approximately 80 nucleotides in length. Their secondary structure includes four short double-helical elements and three loops (D, anti-codon, and T loops). The record is from RNAcentral. Lineage: Bacteria; Bacillati; Bacillota; Clostridia; Eubacteriales; Oscillospiraceae.
UGGGAUGUCGCCAAGAGGUAAGGCACCAGACUUUGACUCUGGCAUUCGCAGGUUCGAAUCCCGCCAUCCCAGCCA